GUCCUCAGCUUUUGGGUUUUCCUUUGCCAAUCUUGUCUGAUCGCAGAAAAUAAGCAGGGUCAAGCAUGGUUAGGACUAAAGUGGGGGACUGCCUGGAAAUACCAGCUGCUGUAGGCU
Molecule: ribosomal RNA, 117 nt
Filed under: Salvator merianae (Argentine black and white tegu)
Lineage: Eukaryota; Metazoa; Chordata; Lepidosauria; Squamata; Teiidae
Source: RNAcentral